This 380-nucleotide unclassified non-coding RNA is filed under the name uncultured Rickettsiales bacterium. RNAcentral's name for it is "contains 16S-23S intergenic spacer region". Lineage: Bacteria; Pseudomonadati; Pseudomonadota; Alphaproteobacteria; Rickettsiales. The record is from RNAcentral.
UCCGAUUUGUCACCGGCAGUCUCCCAUGAGUCCCCGACGUUACUCGCUGGCAACAUGGGACAGGGGCUGCGCUCGUUGCGGGACUUAACCCAACAUCUCACGACACGAGCUGACGACAGCCAUGCAGCACCUGUGUUCCUCCCACCCGAAGUGAAGGAUCUCAUCUCUGUGAUCCAUAGAGGACAUGUCAAGGCCUGGUAAGGUUCUUCGCGUUGCCUCGAAUUAAACCACAUGCUCCACCGCUUGUGCGGGUCCCCGUCAAUUUCUUUGAGUUUUAACCUUGCGGCCGUACUCCCCAGGCGGAAUGCUUAAUGCGUUAGCGACGUCACUGAGAGGGAACCCCCCAACAACUAGCAUUCAUCGUUUACAGCGUGGACUAC